ACUGAAAGUCAGAUUGUUUCAAAACAAUUGGCCUUCAAGAAGCGAGAACACAGACAGGUUCCCAUCAGCUCGUUCACGUGAUUUCUGUUGAUAAUCCGACACAUGAACAGGAGUAUCGAUGUGUAACAGAACCGGAAGUGGAAGCCACAGAAUACAGUUGGUACAAGCAAGGCUGGGCUGGGCUUCCAGAAGGAGUGAAGGCAGAGGGAGACAGACUGCAUUUCAUCAAAUUUACCACUGAUCUCAAUGGUGUAUAUAUCUGUGAAGUAACAAACGAGAAAGGUUCUGCAGCAGCUUCACUAUAUCUGCAGCAAAUGGAACCUAAGUCAGAGCUCUAAUAAGGGUAAAUCAAACAUAGGUGCCUACUGGAUACGUCAGACGAAUGUAAAUGCUUUAAUAAGAUGCAAAUAUUUUAGGGCUGCUCUGGUUUUAGACACUGCUAUGAAAUGGAGUUCAGUAGGUUCUAGCUAGACUUAAGGUUCUAUAUUCAUUCAUUGUUUCGUUCAUUAUCUAUCUGUUGCGGGUCGUGGGUGGACUGGAAUCAAUCCCAGCUGAUGUAGGGUGAGAGGCGGGGUACACCCUAGACUUCAAUGACUCACAUGAUGGCAGAGAGAGCCAAUGACCAACAGAUCACUGUAACGACCCUCUAGGCUGCUAACACCAUUCACGUCCAGCCUCCAGUGACCCUAACAACCUACAGGAUGAUCCAGAACGGGAAUUCCUUCAUGCCUGCAUUCACUUCCUGGUUUUCUCUGCUGUUAUAAAAACGCCGUUCUCAGACAGGAACUUUGCCAGAACGUCUUGCUUUGCUUCUAGCCGUUUCUGUGCCUCUGUUAUGUUUCAUGGUUGUUUGCUCAAGCUCAUUUUUCUAUUUCAUGGUUUUUGCACUAAGGGUUUAUUCUCGUUCAUGGUUUUUUGCACAGGUUUUUUUUUUCUUGUUUUUGUUUUUUUUGUCCUUGCCUGUUUCGUGUUUUUGUCUAGUUUUCUGUCUCUUGUUAUCUGGAUUAUUUUUUGCCAUUUGUUUUUGUCCCGUUUGUUUACCCUUGUGCCACGCCCUUUUCCCUGGAUUAAAUCUCUCUAUUUAUUUGAUUACUGUCUGUGUUCUGCUUGUGGAUCCUUAUCCCACCAUACCUCCACGACCCCUAACAUUUCAAGCAAGUCCAGUUGCCUUCUUUAGCACAGACAAUUUACGAUGACCUGGAUGACUGAGAAUCUUCAGACAUUCACCCUGGACAGGUCUCUAGUCUAUCCCAGGGCUAACAUGGAGACAAAUAACUAUUCACACUUACAUUCACACAAGAUAAGGAUUUAAAUAAAUAAAUAAAUAAAUAACCACUCUUGAAAACCAUGGAGAGCAGAAAAGCAUCCCUUAGCAAAAAGUAGUAUACUUAAAGUUCAUUUUAUUAAGUAUGCUUCAGUAUAAGUAUAGCAAGUAUACUACAGACCAUGUACUUUUAGUGUACUAGAAAGUAUACAAAUUUAAUACUUUUUCGGACUAAAUUGGAACAUUUCAAGUUUAUAAAAGUAUACUUUAAAGUUCAUUUUAAGUUUGCAAAAGUACACUCAUCUAUAUACUAUCAAUGUACUUGGUAUAUCCCUCUUGCAUGCUUAAAGUAUACCACAAGUACACUUAUCGAUAUACUUCUUUUUUUGGGCUUUUUUCACCUUUAAUGGAUAGGACAGUGUAGAGACAGGAAAUGAGCAGGAGAGGGAUCAGGAAAUUACCUUGGGUUGGAAUCGAACCCAGGUCCCCAGACUUAUGGUAUGCGCUUUAGUUGACUGAGCCACAACACCCCUUAGUUACAGACUUCAAGUCCCUAUUUUUAGUUUAUUAUUGUAUACUUUAAGUAUACUGUUAUAAACGUUGGUUAUUUCACUAGUUUACUUGUUAUACUUUAAGUUUGCUUGGCAUAUUACUUGUAGCUUACUAUUUAUAUACUGCAAAUAUACUCCUUAAUGUAUUCUUAAAGUUUACUCAUACUGUAUGUACACAAGAGUGUGAUGCAUUUACAAAAUCACAAGACAGAAUGUUGAAAACAAGUUUGAUAUAUUUUCAAACAUUUCAAAAAUAAAGACCUAUGAAAUCAAGUCCUUCCUUACUGGAGAAAUUGAUCAAUAAAGUCAAGUCAAAAGUU
Molecule: RNA transcript, 2135 nt
Organism: Neoarius graeffei (lesser salmon catfish)
Lineage: Eukaryota; Metazoa; Chordata; Actinopteri; Siluriformes; Ariidae
Gene name: nectin-4-like
Exons: 3
Source: RefSeq, a predicted model, not a curated record